RNAcentral lists this ribosomal RNA (106 nucleotides) under uncultured bacterium. RNAcentral describes it as "partial 16S ribosomal RNA". The record is from RNAcentral.
CCGCCCGUCACACCACGAAAGUUGGUUCUACCCGAAGUGGCUGAGCUAACCCCUGAGCUUGUCGAAGGGGAGGCAGGCUCCGAAGGUAGGGCUGGUGAUUGGGGUG